AAUAACAAAGAUAAAAACGCAACGCGUACAGAAAUGUAUGCCAGAGCCGGUAGGUAGCCCGGCCGUCACGGCGUAGCCGUGGUAAGUAACCUGCCCUCCGGGUUGUCCGUUCUUUGUUCAUGAAUU
This is a regulatory RNA element of Lachnospiraceae bacterium, 126 nucleotides long. It matches the Rfam family "azaaromatic riboswitch aptamer (yjdF RNA)". Lineage: Bacteria; Bacillati; Bacillota; Clostridia; Lachnospirales; Lachnospiraceae. The record is from Rfam.